AGUGACCAGAAGACAAGAAUGUGAGCUUUCUGUGAUGCCCGGGCAGGGCCACCAGAGGGCUCCUUGGUCUAGUGGUAAUGCCA
RNAcentral lists this microRNA precursor (83 nucleotides) under Colobus angolensis palliatus. Its description in RNAcentral is "miRNA (ENSCANG00000014491.1)". The record is from RNAcentral. Lineage: Eukaryota; Metazoa; Chordata; Mammalia; Primates; Cercopithecidae.